This 465-nucleotide ribosomal RNA is filed under the name Vreelandella stevensii. Its description in RNAcentral is "partial 16S ribosomal RNA". It matches the Rfam family "Bacterial small subunit ribosomal RNA", at positions 338 to 795 of the family's 1533-position model. Lineage: Bacteria; Pseudomonadati; Pseudomonadota; Gammaproteobacteria; Oceanospirillales; Halomonadaceae. The record is from RNAcentral.
CCUACGGGCGGCUGCAGUGGGGAAUAUUGGACAAUGGGGGGAACCCUGAUCCAGUCAUGCCGCGUGUGUGAAGAAGGCCCUCGGGUUGUAAAGCACUUUCAGUGAGGAAGAACGCCUGGUGGUUAAUACCCAUCAGGAAAGACAUCACUCACAGAAGAAGCACCGGCUAACUCCGUGCCAGCAGCCGCGGUAAUACGGAGGGUGCGAGCGUUAAUCGGAAUUAAUGGGCGUAAAGCGCGCGUAGGUGGCUUGAUAAGCCGGUUGUGAAAGCCCCGGGCUCAACCUGGGAACGGCAUCCGGAACUGUCAAGCUAGAGUGCAGGAGAGGAAGGUAGAAUUCCCGGUGUAGCGGUGAAAUGCGUAGAGAUCGGGAGGAAUACCAGUGGCGAAGGCGGCCUUCUGGACUGACACUGACACUGAGGUGCGAAAGCGUGGGUAGCAAACAGGAUUAGAUACCCUAGUAGUC